CAUUUUCAGGAAAUAGCUUUGAUUUCGUUUUUUUAAACUAAAACCGUACUUAAACCGACACAGGUAAAUAAAUUUAGUAAAUUAAGAUGUUGAGUUAACUGUUGUUGAAGGAACUCGGCAAAAUGACUCCGUAACUUCGGGAUAAGGAGUGGCUUUUUUUGGGCAACCUUUUUAAGCUCACAGAAAAUCGGGAACAGCGACUGUUUAAUAAAAACACAGGUUUCUGCUAAUUUGUAAAAAGAUGUAUAGAAACUGACGCCUGCCCAGUGCUAAAAAACUAACGAAAAAAGUUUUGGCUUUAAUCCUAACUUUUAGUAAACGGCGGCUGUAACUCUGACGGUCCAAAGGUAGCGAAAUUCCUUGUCGGGUAAGUUCCGACCUGCACGAAUGGUGUAACGAUCUGGGCACUGUCUCAACCACGAGCUCGGUGAAAUUGUAGUAUCGGUGAAGAUGCCGGUUACCCGCAAUGGGACGAAAAGACCCCGUGAACCUUUACUAUAGCUUCGUAUUGACUUUGGAUAAGUAAUGUGUAGGAUAGGUGGGAGACUAUGAAAUGGCGUCGCUAGGCGUUGUGGAGUCGUUGUUGAAAUACCACCCUUUGCUUAUCUGAAGCCUAACCUCUUACGAGGAACAGUGCGUGGUGGGUAGUUUGACUGGGGUGGUCGCCUCCAAAAGAGUAACGGAGGCUUCUAAAGGUUCCCUCAACACGGUUGGCAAUCGUGUGUAGAGUGUAAUGGCAUAAGGGAGCUUGACUGAGAGACCUACAAGUCGACCAGGUACGAAAGUAGAGCAUAGUGAUCCGGCGGUUCCGCAUGGAAGGGCCGUCGCUCAAAGGAUAAAAGGUACUCCGGGAUAACAGGCUGAUCUCCCCCAAGAG
RNAcentral lists this ribosomal RNA (877 nucleotides) under Ochromonas sp. CCMP1393. Its description in RNAcentral is "partial Bacterial large subunit ribosomal RNA". It matches the Rfam family "Bacterial large subunit ribosomal RNA", at positions 1603 to 2498 of the family's 2925-position model. Lineage: Eukaryota; Chrysophyceae; Chromulinales; Chromulinaceae. The record is from RNAcentral.